UUUUAGAAGUGCCACAGAACCUUCUGCAAGUCUCUUUUAACUCAAACUUGCAAACAUUGGCACAAUACAGUAAUACCCAAAUGUUGUUCAGAACAUGCUGACGAUACUUCUAAAACAAAAUAUGGAGAGCGUACAGUUUUGACAUCCAUAAUAAGUGGCUAUGCAAGGAGCAAUAUACAAGUUCCAAACUUCUGUCUACUGUGUUUUGAAGAGCUCUGGAGAGGGAAGAAGCAGAGGAAGGAGAUGAAAGAAAACAGGUAUGUAUUUUAGGCUUUAAAAGGACCCAAGUAGAUAGACAUGUCAACAAGAAGUUCUGCAUUUUAAAAAGGAAAAGAAAUGUAAGUUCUGUAAGAUUUCCUUAAUGUAAGUCAAAAGUAAAUAUCCUUUGAAAGACUUGAGAACACUUUGUCCUAACUUCAAAAGGGUUUGGUUAAUCACUUUAAUCACGCUUCUUGCACUUUUCUACUUAGCUGCAUAACAAUUUCUACGCUUAUAUAUGAAAAUGACAUUCAUAUUGCUUACAACACUGCAAGCAGCAGGCUCAAACAAACAAACAAACAGGAUUGAUCCUCGCUUAAUAGUUAUCACAGGUAAUGCUUAGGCUGUUUCUCCAGGUACUUCCAGGUGGUGAAUCAGAGAACCUACGUCAGGCUCCAGCUCUGAAUUACCUUCAGAGGAUAUUUAUUUCUUCACAAGCACAGCAGAAGUUUGAAGAGACUGUCCUCAUAAAUCUGUCACCUAGAAAGGCAAAAUGCAUUGCAGCAUGAGAGUGGGGAACCAGCACAACAGAAAUCCCUCUCAGAAGAAAUACAGAUGUUAUGUAAUAAGCAAAGCCUAUGACAAAAGUACGUGUAAUGUACUGUAAUUGUGUCAUUUCUCAAAGUUUUACAUAAUGAUUUUCUGUUUCUAAAUUGUACUUCAUUAUUGGGAGCGGGAGAAGGUAAUUGUUCUCUGGGUGCUGCUGAUAGCUCCUACGGGCACAAUCAGUCCUGCUGAGACACAUAAUUCAUGCACUGUUUGCCUCUGAUACAGCUACAUUUGCUAAAGCAGUGCUGUGAUUAGAUUCCUACAGAAUAAAUGCAACUAUAAAUCUCUGUGUUGCA
This 1103-nucleotide long non-coding RNA is filed under the name Numida meleagris (helmeted guineafowl). RNAcentral describes it as "lncRNA (ENSNMEG00000012713.1)". Lineage: Eukaryota; Metazoa; Chordata; Aves; Galliformes; Numididae. The record is from RNAcentral.